UGUCCCUACGGGACGCAGCAGUGGGGGAUAUUGCACAAUGGGGGAAACCCUGAUGCAGCGACGCCGCGUGAGUGAAGAAGUAUUUCGGUACGUAAAGCUCUAUCAGCAGGGAAGAAUAAUGACGGUACCUGACUAAGAAGCCCCGGCUAACUACGUGCCAGCAGCCGCGGUAAUACGUAGGGGGCAAGAGUUAUCCGGAUUUACUGGGUGUAAAGGGAGCGUAGACGGCUGUGCAAGUCUGAAGUGAAAUGCUG
This 254-nucleotide ribosomal RNA is filed under the name uncultured bacterium. Its description in RNAcentral is "partial 16S ribosomal RNA". It matches the Rfam family "Bacterial small subunit ribosomal RNA", at positions 335 to 604 of the family's 1533-position model. The record is from RNAcentral.